GACGAACGCUGGCGGCGUGCCUAAUACAUGCAAGUAGAACGCUGAAGCUUGGUGCUUGCACCGAGCGGAUGAGUUGCGAACGGGUGAGUAACGCGUAGGUAACCUGCCUGGUAGCGGGGGAUAACUAUUGGAAACGAUAGCUAAUACCGCAUAAGAGUAGAUGUUGCAUGACAUUUGCUUAAAAGGUGCAAUUGCAUCACUACCAGAUGGACCUGCGUUGUAUUAGCUAGUUGGUGAGGUAACGGCUCACCAAGGCAACGAUACAUAGCCGACCUGAGAGGGGGAUCGGCCACACUGGGACUGAGACACGGCCCAGACUCCUACGGGAGGCAGCAGGAGGGAAUCUUCGGCAAUGGACGGAAGUCUGACCGAGCAACGCCGCGGUAGUGAAGAAGGGUUUCGGAUCGUAAAGCUCUGUUGUAAGAGAAGAACGAGUGUGGGAGUGGAAAGUUCACGCUGUGACGGUAUCUUAUCAGAAAGGGACGGCUAACUACGUG
RNAcentral lists this ribosomal RNA (497 nucleotides) under uncultured bacterium. RNAcentral describes it as "partial 16S ribosomal RNA". It matches the Rfam family "Bacterial small subunit ribosomal RNA", at positions 28 to 507 of the family's 1533-position model. The record is from RNAcentral.